RNAcentral lists this ribosomal RNA (274 nucleotides) under uncultured bacterium. RNAcentral describes it as "partial 16S ribosomal RNA". It matches the Rfam family "Bacterial small subunit ribosomal RNA", at positions 79 to 353 of the family's 1533-position model. The record is from RNAcentral.
CUAAGUUUGAUGGCGACCGGCGCACGGGUGAGUAACACGUAUCCAACCUGCCGAUGACUUGGGGAUAGCCUUUCAAAGAAAGAUUAAUACCCGAUGGCAUAGUUCUUCCGCAUGGUAGAACUAUUAAAGAAUUUCGGUCAUCGAUGGGGAUGCGUUCCAUUAGGUUGUUGGCGGGGUAACGGCCCACCAAGCCUUCGAUGGAUAGGGGUUCUGAGAGGAAGGUCCCCCACAUUGGAACUGAGACACGGUCCAAACUCCUACGGGAGGCAGCAUG